RNAcentral lists this ribosomal RNA (253 nucleotides) under uncultured bacterium. RNAcentral's name for it is "partial 16S ribosomal RNA". It matches the Rfam family "Bacterial small subunit ribosomal RNA", at positions 524 to 776 of the family's 1533-position model. The record is from RNAcentral.
UACGUAGGGUCCGAGCGUUGUCCGGACUUACUGGGCGUAAAGAGCUCGUAGGUGGUUUGUCGCGUUGUUCGUGAAAACUCACAGCUCAACUGUGGGCGUGCGGGCGAUACGGGCAGACUAGAGUACUGCAGGGGAGACUGGAAUUCCUGGUGUAGCGGUGAAAUGCGCAGAUAUCAGGAGGAACACCGGUGGCGAAGGCGGGUCUCUGGGCCGAUACUGACGCUGAGGAGCGAAAGCGUGGGGAGCGAACAGG